UCUAACCCAGACCUAGGAGGCCCAGGAAAUCACAAACCGAUGACCACAAUAUGUCUUCUUUGCUCGGGAACUGGAAAUAACAUGCAGGGGUACACAGUAAUCAUCGCGCCCCAGGCCAUGGAAAUCAUUGACUUUUAGAUGCAAAUCGACGGUCCGGUAACCGCAGUUGUAAGAGUGAAAGGCCGGCGAAGAACUUGCAGCUGGUUCUGCUCUGCUCUGGACAAUGAGCCUGAAAAUCUAUCACUCCUUGGCCUUCCUACUCUUUUCUGUAGCUACAUGUGGGCCUUUCUUUUUGCCACAUUUUGGCCAACCAAAAGGCAUAAACUUGAUUGACCAGCAGCCAACCAUUUUCUUGCAUGGAAAUACUUUCUAAGGUCUCAGUCUUUGCCCGCAAUUGUUUUAUUACAAAUUGGAAAUUUGUAUAAAUAUCUUCCAAGGAGAGCUUGUUAGCUUUGGCCAUACCUCGACAGAUUUUCCAACGCAUUUAUUGCAUCACCUUAAUCCUGAGAAAAAUGAUAAAUAUUGAAAAUUUAAUCACUUUCUAUUUGAUCACGUUUAAAAACAUAUAAUAUUCAAUUAUGAUUAUUGUCUGUUUACAACCUGAUUGCAAAAGGCUUGAAAAUAAUACAGCGCCAAACAGUUUACAGUGUUUUAGUUUAAACAUUUUUGUUGUUCUUUUUGAAGAUUUUUGCUGGCAUUUGAAUAAUAAUAUUGUUACAAGCUGUAUCAUAA
Molecule: long non-coding RNA, 732 nt
Organism: Drosophila elegans
Lineage: Eukaryota; Metazoa; Arthropoda; Insecta; Diptera; Drosophilidae
Exons: 2
Source: RefSeq, a predicted model, not a curated record